UUGCGAACGGCUCAUUAGAGCAGCUUUUAUUCUCUUCGGUAUUUCAAUGGAUAACUGCGGCAAUUCUGGAGCUAAUACACGCAUCAAAUCCCCGACUUCGGAAGGGGUGCGGUUAUUAGAACAGACCAAUCGUCUUCGGACGUGGUUGUUGACUCUGAAUAACGUAGCAUAUCGCCGGUUUACCCGGCGACGACCGAAAGAAGUGUCUGCCCUAUCAACCAGAUGGUAGCCUAUUAGACUACCAUGGUUAUAACGGGUAACGGAGAAUCAGGGUUCGACUCCGGAGAGGGAGCCUUAGAAACGGCUACCACAUCCAAGGAAGGCAGCAAGCGCGUAACCUAUCCACUACUUUUGUGAGAUAGGGACGAAAAAUAAAAAGGCCAAUCCUUUGGAUUGGUUAUUUCAAUGAUUUGAGCCCAAAUAGCUCUUUGAUGACCCAGUGGAGGGCAAGUCUGGUGCCAGCAGCCGCGGUAAUUCCAGCU
This 482-nucleotide ribosomal RNA is filed under the name Cephaloboides nidrosiensis. RNAcentral describes it as "SSU rRNA". It matches the Rfam family "Eukaryotic small subunit ribosomal RNA", at positions 87 to 590 of the family's 1831-position model. The record is from RNAcentral. Lineage: Eukaryota; Metazoa; Nematoda; Chromadorea; Rhabditida; Rhabditidae.